AACAUAAGUUAAGAGUUGCACUUUUAAACAGGGUCACACUCUGCGUCGUCUUAAUGAACGAUUGAUUUAAUUAAUCAAUCUAGGCCUAAUUGCUCCCGUUAAUUGCUUUCCUGAGAUGACUACUGAUGGUCUGUUCUUGUUCUUGAUCGUUGUUAGGGGUGGAAAGGUCACAUGUAGUCAGUGGUGCUAAACAGUUGUCCUGUAAGAUGAAUUAGCAGCGUUUCUUUGGAGUGUACUUGAUGGACUAGCCAUGGGACAGGAGUUAUUGUAUUAUCGGGUCUACAGAGCUGGAGACCACCUAAGACCUUUUACCAGCCGUAAAUUGCACUUGGGACGGAGGGUAAGUGGAAAUCAGAGCUGGGCUGCAGGGCCUUUUUCCAGCUGGCAAUCAUUGGGAACUGUGUUCUCCGUUUUAUAGCAAGCUGUGAUUGUAAUUUGAGCUGAUAUUGCGUUAACUGCACUUUGGUGUGAGUGUGGAGAGAUGCCAGGCGCCAUGUGUGGAUGUGGGGUAAAACUGUCAGCAGUGCUCGGGAGUUACACAUUAGCCUCAUCCUUCUGGGCUUACCAACAGCAGGGUCUCAACUUCAACCCACCUGUAGAGGGUGCACUCAUUAGGGGAGGAAAUAAGGUAUCGUGACAACUUAAAAUGAGCCAUGCCAUCCACACUUUAGUCCUUUGCCAUCUUUAUUUUCAUCACAAACCGUUUAGAAAUAAAGACCCUCUUGCAGAUUUGGGUUCUUGACUGUGAUGCCAUAUCGCUUACUGUGAAUUAACCACAAAUCUGCCUCGCAAAAGCCUCCCUACUUCUUAUUUUCUCUCUUUUUUUAAAAAUCAAGUACAUUUAUUAGUGGGGAGAAAAUUUCAGUGUAUAUUUGGAAUAUAUUCUCAUGUUUAUGAACAUUUCAUCGUUUGCAUCCAGGCUGCACCUUAUCUCACUAAGCUGGUUCAAAACCGAGUCAGACAAUGUUGUAAUUCUGUCUUUAUCUUUGCUGGUUCAUAUAUAGUUUAUUAUCAUUUCUACUUUUACAGUGUAUAUGUGACGUUUCGAUAUUAACGUAGAUCCUGGGUACUCAUAUUUCUCAAAGAAUGCAGGGCUCUUCACGAAUACAUCAUCUCUAAUGACAGAAACCCAUAUCUUAAAUUGAUACUAUCAUGGAUUUUUUUACCGCAGGUAUCUCGAUGCUUCAAGAACUUCAAUUUAUAAAUUUCACCUCACUGUGAGUCAUUUGUUAUGGACUAUCAUUUCAUUUGGAGUCAUUUCCGUCGAGAGGCAGCCGUCGCCCGCCUUUCCGUUCCGAGGAAGUCAUUGUCCAUCUUUGACAGCGUAGCACUUUAAUCCUAAGGAGAAAAAAAAAAGUAUAAAAAUCCAUCAAUGUUGGCUUCUUUGUUGUGAUUUACCCAAGCCAAUUUAAAAAAAGAAGUCAACAUAAACAUUUAACAAUGCUUGUGAAAAGACAUUCACAAGAAAACCUGAAUCAGCUAUCAGUUUUCUGCCACUCAAUAGCAGUUUAGCAGCCAUUUGUUUCUCAUUCUCUUGAGCAUGUGAAAGCGACUCCUUUUUUUCUUUCUUACAGCGACGUACCUCCAAUAUGUCAAGGCAAUUACGAGAGAGGACAGAUUGUAAUAAGGUUCUUUUGUUCCACUGAAAGUCUUUCUCUUCUUUUUUUUCCUGUAGAUAUUUCCUGUAUUGUUUGAUAUGUAUUGCCACACUUAUUGAAUAUUUGAUGUUCCAUAAUGAGCGUACAUACUGUGUGGGUAUACUUGAAAAUGACAGUUUUAGGUGUGCAGAGGUUGAAUGAUAGCAAAACUUUAUCAUCGGUCCAUGUGGUCAUACUUUUUAUGUGGAGAUUUACUAGUGGAAUCGUUGCCUUGAAAAAGACUACAGCGUUAUGUAUUGCUCUUUUGUUUUUGUUUUUUUGUUGUUUUGCCUCGCAGCUGCUCCGAGACUAAAUUCGGGCACGGAGCUGUUGAGAUCCGAGGAAAAUUAAAAAUUAAAAGUUUCUACAGUUGUGAGAUCAAACCAGUGAAUCCCAUCAGGGAAAAUCCGACUUUUAAAUACAAUCAUGUACAGUAUUUAUAGGCUAAAAGGCUACAAAAGCGAAGCAGUAGCCUCGCAGAGGCUGUGUUUUUCUCUUCUGGGAGACUGUGGUGAGGCUGGUGCCUAUGCUUUCAGUGGCUGUGUAAUAGCGGUGCUUAGCUUUGAGCUGGUCUCUGCCUGUGGAAAACGGCAAGUCCGGUGCAAAGCACAUGAGGGAUCAACAUAUCAUCUGAGUUGUUCUCUGCGUAUUGUCCAAGAGAUGUUUUGUUGUGUCAAAUGAGUUUCGUCCAGUCUGAAUGUGUGUUGGGGGUUUGUGUCGUUCUGUUGAAAAUAAGCCAAAGUGGAAUCUCUGCAAUGGACAGUUUUUGAUAUAAGUCUUAUAAGUAUGAACUUGCACAAAAACAGCCCCUGCUAAGGUUGUCCACAGUUAUCUAAGCUAAACCAACAGGAAAGAAACAGCCGGAAUAUAUUUUUACUGAUUUUACAAGGUGUUGCUGUGCUGUUGACAUCUUCGUUGUCUGAUUUGUUGUUUUCUGUUCUGUAUCAAAAGAGAAUUAAGCUUUAGAUAAUGGAUAUGACUAUAUUGUUCAGAUUGAAAAAUCUUAAUUUUUUUUUUUUGUGUGUGUGUAUUUCUUUAUGAUGCCAAAAAAGUAGUGUGCGGACGUUCUUGGGGGAGAAAAAAAGUUAGUAUUGCUUCGGUCUGCUUCACUAACCUACAUUCUGAGGUUGUCAAUCAAAUGCUGAGGACCUGCCCACAUGCCACAGCAAUUCCAAAAACUGCCCAGUAUUCCGCUAUAACAAGAACGGCAACUUCCUGUUGCUUUUUCACUUUUUUCAUGAUCACAGUUACAAUAAAGAACCCUACUCAGAGUCAGUCUUAUUUAACAAACUCUUCUCAGCUCUACUAGUGAAAGAAAUGUAUUUUUGAUACAAUACAAGUUCAGGUUAUUCUUAGUCUGAAAACAAGCAUGUAGAGUCACAGUCCUACCUCAUUGCUGCUCAUCGUCUGUGUUCCUAAGACAGUCUCAUCACCCUCGUACCUCAUUCAGAUAUAUAUGUAUAGAUAUAUAUAUAUAUAUAUAUAUAUAUAUCAGUCUGUAUGGUAUAGAUUCAUUUCAGAUAUUGUAUUUUACUCCCUUAACAACUGUGUUAAUGUUUCUGUGGCAGUAGAUAGUGUUUCCUUGCAGUAAUUACAUUUUUAUCCCAUUGAUGGUGCUACAGCAGGCAUGGGUUGUCUAAUAUGUGUUAUUUACCUCAGAUGGUGCUAAUUUUUCUACUUUUCUGGAGGUCGUUCCGCUUUGCAUGAAUAAAACUGGCUAAUGUUAAUUUCCUAGCAGCAGGAAUUUGGGGAUAAAAAUAAAGCAUCAGAUAAAAUCUUAGGAAUUGCAUCCGGCAUGUCGUAAAAAUUUAGUUUUUCAUAUUUCGAAUAAGACAUACCUCUCUAACAAAUUACCUCACAUACUCUAAAUUAACAGACUAUUAAAACUGUGCACGCAGGAUCUAUCCAUGGCCAUAUAACCUUGUCUUUAUUGUACAAUACAAACCUAAUGCUGGAGUAAGAAACCUGAUAAUCCAAACCAUCUACCUAAAUAUUACUGGGCAGUUGACUCUCACAACGUGGUCCUCGGCAGUUAAUGUGAAAGUCAAUCCCACUGUAGAAAUACAGUGCAACUAACAUGGUAGUCUUACUUUUGGUGGUGGUGGUGGUGAUGAUAUUUUGCAGUAUGUUAACUGUAGAGGGUUUUCUUAACUUACCAAAGUUGUUCCCUCUCAAAGAAACUCUUUGUUGUUGUCGUUAAGAACUGUUUGGGAACAAAGUCUCCAAUUUGCGUUUCAGUCCAGCGAAAACUGUCUCAGAAAUAUGGGUGCGUUGAGCGACUGCCGCUCAGCGGAACGUAAAUUAGUCCAUCCACAAAAAUACAAUCAGUCGUGGGUAUCGGUGACAUUUUUUAUUCAUACAGACAGUUAAUUCAUUUAGAGCAUGUAACAUGACAACUGAAGGCAAACUGUGAUUUUGUUUGCGAACGCUUUCCUGUCGAGACGUUUUUGAUAGUUCUGCGUCAUGUGAAGCAAAUAUGUCAUGGGCUUCAUGAACUGACCUCAAGACCAGACAGUGAGUUCAGAAAUUGAUCGUAUUGCAUUUAAAUCGGAACAUUUUGCAUUUUCAUUUAACUUUUUGUGUCUUUAU
Long non-coding RNA from Sinocyclocheilus anshuiensis, 4226 nucleotides. RefSeq lists it as uncharacterized. The record is from RefSeq and is a predicted model, not a curated record. Lineage: Eukaryota; Metazoa; Chordata; Actinopteri; Cypriniformes; Cyprinidae. The transcript has 2 exons.